AGAGUUUGAUCAUGGCUCAGGAUGAACGCUGGCGGCGUGCCUAACACAUGCAAGUCGAGCGAUUCUCUUCGGAGAAGAGCGGCGGACGAGUGAGUAACGCGUGGGUAACCUGCCUCAUACACAUGGAUAACAUACCGAAAGGUAUGCUAAUACAAGAUGAUAUAAGAGAUUCGCAUGGAUUUCUUAUCAAAGCUCCGGCGGUAUGAGAUGGACCCGCGUCUGAUUAGCUAGUUGGUAAGGUAACGGCUUACCAAGGCGACGAUCAGUAGCCGACCUGAGAGGGUGAUCGGCCACAUUGGAACUGAGACACGGUCCAAACUCCUACGGGAGGCAGCAGUGGGGAAUAUUGCACAAUGGGCGAAAGCCUGAUGCAGCAACGCCGCGUGAGCGAUGAAGGCCUUCGGGUCGUAAAGCUCUGUCCUCAAGGAAGAUAAUGACGGUACUUGAGGAGGAAGCCCCGGCUAACUACGUGCCAGCAGCCGCGGUAAUACGUAGGGGGCUAGCGUUAUCCGGAUUUACUGGGCGUAAAGGGUGCGUAGGUGGUUUCUUAAGUCAGGAGUGAAAGGCUACGGCUCAACCGUAGUAAGCUCUUGAAACUGGGAAACUUGAGUGCAGGAGAGGAAAGUGGAAUUCCUAGUGUAGCGGUGAAAUGCGUAGAUAUUAGGAGGAACACCAGUAGCGAAAGCGGCUUUCUGGACUGUAACUGACACUGAGGCACGAAAGCGUGGGGAGCAAACAGGAUUAGAUACCCUGGUAGUCCACGCCGUAAACGAUGAGUACUAGGUGUCGGGGGUUACCCCCCUCGGUGCCGCAGCUAACGCAUUAAGUACUCCGCCUGGGGAGUACGCUCGCAAGAGUGAAACUCAAAGGAAUUGACGG
Molecule: ribosomal RNA, 879 nt
Filed under: uncultured bacterium
Lineage: Bacteria
Description: bacterial SSU rRNA
Rfam family: Bacterial small subunit ribosomal RNA
Source: RNAcentral